This 493-nucleotide ribosomal RNA is filed under the name uncultured bacterium. Its description in RNAcentral is "partial 16S ribosomal RNA". It matches the Rfam family "Bacterial small subunit ribosomal RNA", at positions 30 to 523 of the family's 1533-position model. The record is from RNAcentral.
AUUGAACGCUGGCGGCAUGCUUUACACAUGCAAGUCGAACGGUAACAGGUUAAGCUGACGAGUGGCGAACGGGUGAGUAAUGCAUCGGAACGUGCCCGGUCGUGGGGGAUAACGCAGCGAAAGCUGCGCUAAUACCGCAUACGAUCUGAGGAUGAAAGCGGGGGACCGUAAGGCCUCGCGCGAUCGGAGCGGCCGAUGUCAGAUUAGGUAGUUGGUGGGGUAAAGGCUCACUAAGCCAACGAUCUGUAGCUGGUCUGAGAGGACGACCAGCCACACUGGGACUGAGACACGGCCCAGACUCCUACGGGAGGCAGCAGUGGGGAAUUUUGGACAAUGGGCGCAAGCCUGAUCCAGCAAUGCCGCGUGCAGAAUGGAGGCCUUCGGGUUGUAAACUGCUUUUGUACGGAACGAAACGGUGAGCUCUAAUACAGUUUGCUAAUGACGGUACCGUAAGAAUAAGCACCGGCUAACUACGUGCCAGCCGCCGCCGUAA